CCUGACUGCCAUCGGAUUGGUACUAAGCCAUGUGAGUCGUUGUAGCAAUACAAGGCAUACGGCUCAGUAACACGUAGUCAAUCUAACCUAUGGACGGGGAUAACCUCGGGAAACUGAGGAUAAACCCCGAUAGAUCAUUAUACCUGGAACGGUUUAUGGUCCAAAUGAUUCGUCGCCGUAGGGUGGGACUGCGGCCUAUCAGCUUGUUGGUGAGGUAAUGGCCCACCAAGGCUAUUACAGGUACGGGCUCUGAGAGGAGAAGCCCGGAGAUGGGUACUGAGACACGGACCCAGGCCCUAUGGGGCGCAGCAGGCGAGAAACCUUUGCAAUGUGCGCAAGCACGACAAGGUUAAUCCGAGUGUUUCCUGCUAAAGGAAUCUUUUGUUAGUUGUAAAACCACUGAUGAAUAAGGGGUGGGCAAGUUCUGGUGUCAGCCGCCGCGGUAAAACCAGCACCUCAAGUGGUCAGGAUGAUUAUUGGGCCUAAAGCAUCCGUAGCCUGUUCUGUAAGUUUCCGGUUAAAUCCAUUAGCUCAACUAAUGGGCUGCCGAAAAUACUGCAGAACUAGGGAGUGGGAGAGGUAGACGGUACUCGGUAGGAAGGGGUAAAAUCCUUUGAUCUAUUGAUGACCACCUGUGGCGAAGGCGGUCUACCAGAACACGUUCGACGGUGAGGGAUGAAAGCUGGGGGAGCAAACCGGAUUAGAUACCCGGGUAGUCCCAGCUGUAAACGAUGCAGACUCGGUGAUGCCCUGGCUUGUGGCCAGUGCAGUGCCGCAGGGAAGCCGUUAAGUUUGCCGCCUGGGAAGUACGUACGCAAGUAUGAAACUUAAAGGAAUUGGCGGGGGAGCACCACAAGGGGUGAAGCCUGCGGUUC
This 875-nucleotide ribosomal RNA is filed under the name uncultured archaeon. Its description in RNAcentral is "bacterial SSU rRNA". It matches the Rfam family "Archaeal small subunit ribosomal RNA", at positions 21 to 903 of the family's 1478-position model. The record is from RNAcentral.